AGCCUCAUUCUGUACGACAACAGGCACUGUUUUUGUGUGUGGUGCCCAGAAAUUGUUAAUAGGGCUACCCUGAGACACCGGUUUUACUUCCAUCACAGUAAUUGCACUGUAAUAGUAACAAUGAGACCUGUAACUUUU
This is a small nucleolar RNA of Artibeus jamaicensis (Jamaican fruit-eating bat), 138 nucleotides long. RefSeq annotates it as small nucleolar RNA SNORA1. The transcript has a single exon. Lineage: Eukaryota; Metazoa; Chordata; Mammalia; Chiroptera; Phyllostomidae. The record is from RefSeq and is a predicted model, not a curated record.